Molecule: ribosomal RNA, 253 nt
Filed under: uncultured bacterium
Lineage: Bacteria
Description: partial 16S ribosomal RNA
Rfam family: Bacterial small subunit ribosomal RNA
Source: RNAcentral
UACGUAGGGCGCAAGCGUUGUCCGGAAUUAUUGGGCGUAAAGAGCUCGUAGGCGGUUUGUCGCGUCUGCCGUGAAAGCCCGGGGCUUAACUCCGGGUCUGCGGUGGAUACGGGCAGACUAGAGGCAGGUAGAGGAGAACGGAAUUCCCGGUGUAGCGGUGAAAUGCGCAGAUAUCGGGAGGAACACCGGUGGCGAAGGCGGCUCACUGGACCACAACUGACGCUGAGGCGCGAAAGCUAGGGGAGCAAACAGG